AGCUGUUUUUGGACUACAACUCCCAUCAUUCCUAGCUAUCAGGACCAGUGGUCAGGGGUGAUGGGAAUUGUAGUCCCAAAACAGCU
RNAcentral lists this microRNA precursor (86 nucleotides) under Podarcis lilfordi (Lilford's wall lizard). The record is from RNAcentral. Lineage: Eukaryota; Metazoa; Chordata; Lepidosauria; Squamata; Lacertidae.